GACGGAUGGCGGUGUCAGGGAUGAGUCAUCUACCAUUGCUCCAAACCAAGAGACCAAUCAACCUCGUCGGGGACGACCUCGCACACGUCAGUCUACGCGUCCAACCCAAGAGAGCAAUCCCACUGGUACAAGGGCCAACACACGUCGCGCUACGACUCAGCCGCAACGAUGUGGCCGUCGCGGGGAUCGGGAUUGAAUGUUAGCGGGGAUCAAGUGUGGGAACCUGAAAUGUCUCAAAAUGGU
Molecule: long non-coding RNA, 243 nt
Organism: Salvia splendens (bonfire salvia)
Lineage: Eukaryota; Viridiplantae; Streptophyta; Magnoliopsida; Lamiales; Lamiaceae
Exons: 3
Source: RefSeq, a predicted model, not a curated record